This is a long non-coding RNA of Patiria miniata (bat star), 605 nucleotides long. RefSeq lists it as uncharacterized. NCBI's taxonomy places the organism in Eukaryota, Metazoa, Echinodermata, Asteroidea, Valvatida, Asterinidae. The record is from RefSeq and is a predicted model, not a curated record. The transcript has 2 exons.
AGGUUAAAAUCUACAGAAUCUUAGAAUGCCCUAUUUUUAACUUGCUCCAACUUCAAACAAAAUUUUGUGCUACACUGUACAAACUCUAAUAAUUCUAAAUCCAACCAAAUCGAACAGUAGACAAAUUCUAUCAUUUAAUUGAUUCCAACAGGUCCAAAAAUGUUUUUUUUUCUGAACAUGCUGAAGGUUGGAAUCUAUUACAUUCAGCACAGUGCAGAGAGAAAACUUUAAAAAAAUGGAUUAGGGAUAAUGCAUUAACUUUUGUAAUAUGGUGUAAAAAUGUACUUCUUUUUCUGAUGUUUUGUAGCAAUGGUAAAAUUUUGAAAAUGGUCCUUUCCCCCUUAAAACCUGUGAAUCACAUGAUCACAUCUUUACAAAAUACACCAUAACUGGGCAGUGAACUACGCUUAUCGCAUUUCUAGAAGCUCUUAAAUUAAGUUUUCAAAAUUAAAGAUAUAUACACCCAAGACUUGGCAGGAAGAUUUUUUUUUCUCUUUAGAACUACUCAGCAAACCCCACAUGGGGUGAAGAAUUAACCAAUGCCUUUCUAUUUUUCAGCACUGCGCAGAGGCGUCACAAAUCUAAACCUCUGCAACAAACCUAAU